CAGUGACAUGUAUGUGGCAGUGCAGGAAGUGUGUUGCAAAGGAAAGAGUUGUAGGAUGACACUAUACAUAUCAGAAGAACCUGUGUCAUCAAGUUUCUGUGGACCUACUUGAAAUGAAGACCCUGAAAAAGUAGUGAAGGCAUAUUUGGAUUCAGACAUUGAGUCACAAAGUUCCAGGGAGCAAACUGUAAUGGGAGUAGAUGUCAUACUGAAGGAGGGAGCGCUGCCUGACGAUGGCCCACAGGACAUCGGUGUCCAUAUUGAAGGUGGACUUAUUAUUUGGACUGAUACACUGUUUGAACCUGACCUACCCACCAGAGCUCACGUGCACUUUUGAAUUCUUGCAGAAGAUCUUUCUAAAUGGACAGAGGUUGUCAUCCAAGGCACAGUUUCUCAAAAACAAGCUAUUGGAGUGAGCUUGAAAAAGACAAAAGUCAAACAAAAUGCACUUUUAAGUAGUAGUUUGUUUUUGUUUACUAACAGUGUUUUGUAGUAACUGACUGUAGCAGUUGUUACACACAUUUUUUUUCUGAGAGUGGAUCAGUCACUGAUGCACAGUAUUGUUUAUUUUCAGAUGUGAAGCAACAUAGCUACAUUGAUCAUUUAGAAUCAUCAAAAUAUUACACGUGAUAUCAGUGUUUGUUUUAUAUUAUAAAUUCAUGUACACUCUUGUUUGUUUUCAAAUGUUAAUAUUUUUUUUUGUGUCAGGCCAAGGUUUACCUUACAAAUUCCCAAAAAGGGUAGUGUUAAAAUGGCUUAAUUUUUAGAAGUUUUAAGACCAAUAGGGCAUUAACAUCCUACAAGCUUGGGGAUCAGUUUUAUCAAGAGCCAAUAUUUUGUUGGUUAAAUGUUUCUUAUACACUGUGUUACAAACACUCAAAUGGAUAGGAGACUUAAAUUGAAGAAAGCAGUUUAAACUUUAAUGAGUGCAUGUUAAAGCUGAAUGGUAAAAUAAAAAAUGUAUAUUGUUUGCAUGUUUUCUGUGCUUUUUCUGAAGAUUUCUGAGCUUUGGGUAAUGUCUUGUUUUUUUAGUGCUGUCAUCUAAAACAAAUCUAAUUGAAACAACAAGAUAGAUAUUCAUUAAACUACUAAAACCAUACAUGAACAAGACAAUAACUAGUUGAUGUAACAAGGCAGAAUGUGGUUGAAUCGAAGUGCUUUACUGGCAUUGAGUGAAUAAGAAUAAAUUUGAUUAGACUAAUACAAUACAAACAUUUUGAUUCAGUUAGUUGAAAAGAAGUUACACUGACAUUAAAAUCA
This is a long non-coding RNA of Labeo rohita (rohu), 1260 nucleotides long. RefSeq lists it as uncharacterized. The record is from RefSeq and is a predicted model, not a curated record. Lineage: Eukaryota; Metazoa; Chordata; Actinopteri; Cypriniformes; Cyprinidae. The transcript has 3 exons.